AUACAGACGACGAGUCCGAAAUAGGAGGAAACGCGCAUCCUGUAU
Molecule: non-coding RNA, 45 nt
Filed under: Schistosoma mansoni
Lineage: Eukaryota; Metazoa; Platyhelminthes; Trematoda; Strigeidida; Schistosomatidae
Source: RNAcentral